GCCCGGCUGGUCGGGGCGGACGGCACGCUGUAUGCGCAUGCGACGACGACGUGCCUGGUGUUCGAGGUGCCGGCGGGGCG
RNAcentral lists this transfer RNA (80 nucleotides) under compost metagenome. RNAcentral describes it as "tRNA-Ile". The record is from RNAcentral.